CCUACGGGGUGCAGCAGUGGGGGAUAUUGCACAAUGGGGGAAACCCUGAUGCAGCGACGCCGCGUGGGCGAAGAAGUAUUUCGGUAUGUAAAGCCCUAUCAGCAGGGAAGAAGAAAUGACGGUACCUGAGUAAGAAGCACGGGCUAAAAACGUGCAAGCAGCCGCGGUAACACGUAGGGUGCAAGCGUUAUCCGGAUUUACGGGGUUUAAAGGGAGCGCAGGGGGCGCAGCAAGCCGGAGGUGAAAGCCCGCGGUCAAACCGGGGGACGGCAUUGGGAACUACCGGGAUGGAGGGCGGGGGGGGAGGCGGAAUUCCUAGUGUAGCGGUGAAAUGCGUAGAUAUUAGGAGGAACACCAGUGGCGAAGGCGGCCUACUGGACGGUGACUGACGCUGAGGCUCGAAAGCGUGGGGAGCAAACAGGAUUAGAUACCCGGGUAGUC
RNAcentral lists this ribosomal RNA (441 nucleotides) under uncultured bacterium. RNAcentral describes it as "partial 16S ribosomal RNA". It matches the Rfam family "Bacterial small subunit ribosomal RNA", at positions 338 to 795 of the family's 1533-position model. The record is from RNAcentral.